Molecule: ribosomal RNA, 441 nt
Filed under: uncultured bacterium
Lineage: Bacteria
Description: partial 16S ribosomal RNA
Rfam family: Bacterial small subunit ribosomal RNA
Source: RNAcentral
CCUACGGGAGGCAGCAGUGGGGAAUAUUGCACAAUGGGGGAAACCCUGAUGCAGCAACGCCGCGUGAGUGAAGAAGGAUUUCGGUAUGUAAAGCUCUAUCAGCAGGGAAGAAGAAAGACGGAAGCGGACAAAGAAGCCCCGGCGAACUACGUGCAAGCAGCCGCGGUAAGACGGAGGGGGCAAGCGGUAUCCGGAUUUACUGGGUGUAAGGGGCGCGGAGACGGCUGGUGAAGUCUGACGUGAAAGCCCGUGGCUCAACCGCGGAACUUCUUUGGAAACUGUAUAGCUUGAGUACUGGAUAGGCAGGCGGAAUUCCUUGUGUAGCGGUGAAAUGCGCAGAUAUUAGGAGGAACACCAGUGGCGAAGGCGGCCUGCUGGACUGAACCUGACGUUGAGGCUCGAAAGCGUGGGGAGCAAACAGGAUUAGAUACCCCUGUAGUC